Molecule: ribosomal RNA, 406 nt
Filed under: uncultured bacterium
Lineage: Bacteria
Description: partial 16S ribosomal RNA
Rfam family: Bacterial small subunit ribosomal RNA
Source: RNAcentral
AUUGAACGCUGGCGGCAGGCCUAACACAUGCAAGUCGAACGAGUGGCGGACGGGUGAGUAAUGUCUGGGAAACUGCCUGAUGGCGGGGGAUAACUACUGGAAACGGUGGCUAAUACCGCAUACCAUCGGAUGUGCCCAGAUGGGAUUAGCUAGUUGGUGGGGUAACGGCUCACCUAGGCGACGAUCCCUAGCUGGUUUGAGAGGAUGACCAGCCACACUGGGACUGAGACACGGUCCAGACUCCUACGGGAGGCAGCAGUGGGGAAUAUUGGACAAUGGGCGCAAGCCUGAUCCAGCCAUGCCGCGUGUAUGAAGAAGGCCUUCGGGUUGUAAAGUACUUUUAGCAGGGAGGCGUUACCCGCAGAAGAAGCACCGGCUAACUCCGUGCCAGCAGCCGCGGUAAUAC